GACGAACGCUGGCGGCGUGCUUAACACAUGCAAGUCGAACGGAAAGGCCCUGCUUUUGUGGGGUGCUCGAGUGGCGAACGGGUGAGUAACACGUGAGUAACCUGCCCUUGACUUUGGGAUAACUUCAGGAAACUGGGGCUAAUACCGGAUAGGAGCUCCUGCUGCAUGGUGGGGGUUGGAAAGUUUCGGCGGUUGGGGAUGGACUCGCGGCUUAUCAGCUUGUUGGUGGGGUAGUGGCUUACCAAGGCUUUGACGGGUAGCCGGCCUGAGAGGGUGACCGGCAAAAUGGGGAGUGAGAUACGGCCCAGACUCCAACGGGGGGCAGAAGGGGGGAAUAUUGAACAAGGGGCGGAAGCCGGAUGCAGAAAGGCCGGGUGGGGGAUGAGGGCCUUCGGGUGGGAAACCGCUUUCGCGUGUGACGAAGCGGGAGUGAGGGUAAUGGGAAAGGAAGCACGGGCUAACUACGU
This 467-nucleotide ribosomal RNA is filed under the name uncultured bacterium. RNAcentral's name for it is "partial 16S ribosomal RNA". It matches the Rfam family "Bacterial small subunit ribosomal RNA", at positions 28 to 506 of the family's 1533-position model. The record is from RNAcentral.